UGCUGAAGUGAAUGUCUUCAUCAGUGGGGCUGUCCCUGGCCAUCCUGUCAGUACCUUCAGAGUAGCUGAAUGACAAUUGCACGCACUUCUGGAUUUUGGACUAUUCAGUGGAUGCCACUGAAGCCUUGAAGUCAUGAACCUCAGCUGGGCUGUGUACAAAGAGCAGUUGGGCCUUGAGCUGUGAAACUGUGCAUAUACACAUGUGAAGAAUGGAUAUCUGAUACCACCCAUAGAUUAGUCUUUCGUGAGAUGAUAUGAGAGGAAUCUUGGAAUCCAGAGCAAUAGACAGCUAAGGCUCCUGCUCCCUGUGGACAAGAGUGAGGAAGACUCCCUC
RNAcentral lists this long non-coding RNA (334 nucleotides) under Cyanistes caeruleus (blue tit). Its description in RNAcentral is "lncRNA (ENSCCEG00000013156.1)". Lineage: Eukaryota; Metazoa; Chordata; Aves; Passeriformes; Paridae. The record is from RNAcentral.